GUCCACGCUGUAAACGAUGGGUGCUAGUUGUCGCGGGUAACCAACCCUGCGGUGACGAAGCUAACGCGAUAAGCACCCCGCCUGGGGAUUACGGCCGCAAGGCUAAAACUCAAAGGAAUUGACGGGGGCCCGCACAAGCGGUGGAGUAUGUGGUUUAAUUCGACGCAACGCGCAGAACCUUACCCAGACUUGACAUCCUUGGAACCUGGCCGAAAAGCUGGGGUGCUCGCAAGAGAACCAAGUGACAGGUGCUGCAUGGCUGUCGU
Molecule: ribosomal RNA, 266 nt
Filed under: uncultured bacterium
Lineage: Bacteria
Description: partial 16S ribosomal RNA
Rfam family: Bacterial small subunit ribosomal RNA
Source: RNAcentral